UACAAGGACUUCUUAAAGUCCACAUAAGGCAAAAUGACAGCUGAUGU
This is a non-coding RNA of Cavia porcellus (domestic guinea pig), 47 nucleotides long. The record is from Rfam. NCBI's taxonomy places the organism in Eukaryota, Metazoa, Chordata, Mammalia, Rodentia, Caviidae.